GUCUUCAUUUCUUUGUUUAUGUGCUGUUACAUGCGUAGUUUAGCCCGUUUUUUGCGUUCUAAAUGAUCAAUCUUGUUUCAGUACAAUACGUAGUGCCACUUUUCUCCUUACAGAUUAUUGUUUGCUGGAGUUGUGGGUUCUACACCCAAUUUCAAAUACUAUAGUUUUUGUCUUUUGUAGUGUGAUGUAUAGAAACAUGUAACUUCUUUUUGGGUCUAUCUUUUCUGUGUACCACUUUCU
This 240-nucleotide long non-coding RNA is filed under the name Elaeis guineensis (African oil palm). RNAcentral's name for it is "long non-coding RNA (EGUI_LNC077952)". Lineage: Eukaryota; Viridiplantae; Streptophyta; Magnoliopsida; Arecales; Arecaceae. The record is from RNAcentral.